This 325-nucleotide ribosomal RNA is filed under the name Helicobacter pylori. RNAcentral describes it as "partial 23S ribosomal RNA". It matches the Rfam family "Bacterial large subunit ribosomal RNA", at positions 1927 to 2251 of the family's 2925-position model. The record is from RNAcentral. Lineage: Bacteria; Pseudomonadati; Campylobacterota; Epsilonproteobacteria; Campylobacterales; Helicobacteraceae.
ACGGCGGCCGUAACUAUAACGGUCCUAAGGUAGCGAAAUUCCUUGUCGGUUAAAUACCGACCUGCAUGAAUGGCGUAACGAGAUGGGAGCUGUCUCAACCAGAGAUUCAGUGAAAUUGUAGUGGAGGUGAAAAUUCCUCCUACCCGCGGCAAGACGGAAAGACCCCGUGGACCUUUACUACAACUUAGCACUGCUAAUGGGAAUAUCAUGCGCAGGAUAGGUGGGAGGCUUUGAAGUAGGGGCUUUGACUCUUAUGGAGCCUCCCUUGAGAUACCACCCUUGAUGUUUCUGUUAGCUAACUGGCCUGUGUUAUCCACAGGCAGGA